This 235-nucleotide ribosomal RNA is filed under the name uncultured bacterium. Its description in RNAcentral is "partial 16S ribosomal RNA". It matches the Rfam family "Bacterial small subunit ribosomal RNA", at positions 99 to 334 of the family's 1533-position model. The record is from RNAcentral.
CGGACGGGUGAGUAACGCGUGGGUAACCUGCCUCAUACAGGGGGAUAACAGUUAGAAAUGACUGCUAAUACCGCAUAAGACCACAGGAUCGCAUGAUCCGGUGGUAAAAACUCCGGUGGUAUGAGAUGGACCCGCGUCUGAUUAGCUAGUUGGUGGGGUAACGGCUCACCAAGGCGACGAUCAGUAGCCGACCUGAGAGGGUGACCGGCCACAUUGGGACUGAGACACGGCCCAG